This 540-nucleotide ribosomal RNA is filed under the name Chaetomium sp. SQU-KH11. RNAcentral's name for it is "eukaryotic LSU rRNA". The stretch from base 185 to 338 matches the Rfam family "5.8S ribosomal RNA". Lineage: Eukaryota; Fungi; Ascomycota; Sordariomycetes; Sordariales; Chaetomiaceae. The record is from RNAcentral.
GGAUCAUUACAGAGUUGCAAAACUCCCUAAACCAUUGUGAACGUUACCUAUACCGUUGCUUCGGCGGGCGGCCCCGGGGUUUACCCCCCGGGCGCCCCUGGGCCCCACCGCGGGCGCCCGCCGGAGGUCACCAAACUCUUGAUAAUUUAUGGCCUCUCUGAGUCUUCUGUACUGAAUAAGUCAAAACUUUCAACAACGGAUCUCUUGGUUCUGGCAUCGAUGAAGAACGCAGCGAAAUGCGAUAAGUAAUGUGAAUUGCAGAAUUCAGUGAAUCAUCGAAUCUUUGAACGCACAUUGCGCCCGCCAGCAUUCUGGCGGGCAUGCCUGUUCGAGCGUCAUUUCAACCAUCAAGCCCCCGGGCUUGUGUUGGGGACCUGCGGCUGCCGCAGGCCCUGAAAAGCAGUGGCGGGCUCGCUGUCGCACCGAGCGUAGUAGCAUACAUCUCGCUCUGGUCGCGCCGCGGGUUCCGGCCGUUAAACCACCUUUUAACCCAAGGUUGACCUCGGAUCAGGUAGGAAGACCCGCUGAACUUAAGCAUAU